AGCUAACGCUGGCGGCAUGCCUAACACAUGCAAGUCGAACGGAAAUUUAGCUUCGGUUAAAUCUUAGUGGCAAACGGGUGAGUAACGCGUGGGAAUCUACCCUCUGGUGGGGGAUAACUAAAGGAAACUUUAGCUAAUACCGCAUAUUCCUGGAAACAAGGAAAGAUUUAUCGCCAGAGGAGGAGCCUGCGUCAGAUUAGGUAGUUGGUAGGGUAAUGGCCUACCAAGCCUGUGAUCUGUAGCUGGUCUGAGAGGAUGAUCAGCCACACUGGGACUGAGACACGGCCCAGACUCCUACGGGAGGCAGCAGUGGGGAAUAUUGGACAAUGGGGGAAACCCUGAUCCAGCAAUGCCGCGUGAAUGAAGAAGGCCUUCGGGUUGUAAAGUUCUUUCGCCUGUGACGAUAAUGACGGUAGCAGGAAAAGAAGUCCCGGCUAACUCCGUGCCAGCCGCCGCGGUAA
This 461-nucleotide ribosomal RNA is filed under the name uncultured bacterium. Its description in RNAcentral is "partial 16S ribosomal RNA". It matches the Rfam family "Bacterial small subunit ribosomal RNA", at positions 29 to 523 of the family's 1533-position model. The record is from RNAcentral.